GCAAUAUGUCAUCUCUCUAAAAGAUUCAAGCAGUAUAAAUUUCAGGUAAAAGACUCGAAGCGCCUCACUGCCUUUGCUCUCGCCUAUAGCUCAAGAUCUCGAUCGCAGCAGCCAACGACUGCUUCUCGCACAUCCUUCGACGCGUCUCAUAAACACGCACGUGUUUGUGAGCGUAUGUGUGUGUACACACGGGCGCGUGCUCUUUGUUUUAAAUAUACCCCUGGAAUCAUAUUUAUAGACACUACUAUACAAUUUAGUUUUUUUUUAAACUUAUCUAUCAGCCUUUUUCUAAGUCUACAUGCAUUUUUUUUUUAAUUAGCUAUUCGUUUUUGAGAAAAAUGAGGUUAUAUGUGCUCCUAGGAUGGGGGUGGAGAGGAUUCAAAUCAAAGGGCUUGUGGGGAAGGUUGGGCCUCGUCCC
This 418-nucleotide long non-coding RNA is filed under the name Bos taurus (domestic cattle). RNAcentral's name for it is "long non-coding RNA NONBTAT005837". The record is from RNAcentral. Lineage: Eukaryota; Metazoa; Chordata; Mammalia; Artiodactyla; Bovidae.